Molecule: ribosomal RNA, 495 nt
Filed under: uncultured bacterium
Lineage: Bacteria
Description: partial 16S ribosomal RNA
Rfam family: Bacterial small subunit ribosomal RNA
Source: RNAcentral
UGACCGCUGGCGGCGUGCCUAAUACAUGCAAGUCGAGCGAACAGACGCGGAGCUUGCUCCUCUGACGUUAGCGGCGGACGGGUGAGUAACACGUGGAUAACCUACCUAUAAGACUGGGAUAACUUCGGGAAACCGGAGCUAAUACCGGAUAAUAUAUUGAACCGCAUGGUUCAAUAGUGAAAGACGGUUUUGCUGUCACUUAUAGAUGGAUCCGCGCCGCAUUAGCUAGUUGGUAAGGUAACGGCUUACCAAGGCAACGAUGCGUAGCCGACCUGAGAGGGUGAUCGGCCACACUGGAACUGAAACACGGUCCAGACUCCUACGGGAGGCAGCAGUAGGGAAUCUUCCGCAAUGGGCGAAAGCCUUACAGAGCAACGCCGCGUGAGUGAUGAAGGUCUUCGGAUCGUAAAACUCUGUUAUUAGGGAAGAACAAAUGUGUAAGUAACUAUGCACUUCUUGACGGUACCUAAUCAGAAAGCCACGGCUAACUACGUG